GUGGGGAAUAUUGCACAAUGGGCGAAAGCCUGAUGCAGCAACGCCGCGUGAGUGAUGAAGGUCUUCGGAUUGUAAAGCUCUGUCUUUUGGGACGAUAAUGACGGUACCAAAGGAGGAAGCCACGGCUAACUACGUGCCAGCAGCCGCGGUAAUACGUAGGUGGCGAGCGUUGUCCGGAUUUACUGGGCGUAAAGGGUGCGUAGGCGGAUGUUUAAGUGAGAUGUGAAAUACCCGGGCUUAACUUGGGUGCUGCAUUUCAAACUGGAUAUCUAGAGUGCAGGAGAGGAGAAUGGAAUUCCUAGUGUAGCGUGAAAUGCGUAGAGAUUAGGAAGAACACCAGUGGCGAAGGCGAUUCUCUGGACUGUAACUGACGCUGAGGCACGAAAGCGUGGGUAGCAAACAGGAUUAGAUACCCUGGUAGUCCACGCCGNAAACGAUGAGUACUAGGUGUAGGAGGUAUCGAC
RNAcentral lists this ribosomal RNA (464 nucleotides) under uncultured bacterium. RNAcentral describes it as "partial 16S ribosomal RNA". It matches the Rfam family "Bacterial small subunit ribosomal RNA", at positions 354 to 836 of the family's 1533-position model. The record is from RNAcentral.